RNAcentral lists this ribosomal RNA (255 nucleotides) under uncultured bacterium. RNAcentral's name for it is "partial 16S ribosomal RNA". It matches the Rfam family "Bacterial small subunit ribosomal RNA", at positions 527 to 779 of the family's 1533-position model. The record is from RNAcentral.
CGGAGGCGCGAGCGUUACCCGGAUUUACUGGGCGUAAAGGGCGUGUAGGCGGCUUGGGGCGUCCCAUGUGAAAGACCACGGCUCAACCGUGGGGAGCGUGGGAGUACGCUCAGGCUAGACGGCGGGAGGGGUGGGUGGGAAGUUCCCGGAGUAGCGGUGAAAUGCGCAGAUACCGGGAGGAACGCCGAUGGCGAAGGCAGCCACCUGGCUCGUUCGUGACGCUGAGGCGCGAAAGCGUGGGGAGCAAACCGGAUU